UACGUAGGGUCCAAGCGUUAAUCGGAAUUACUGGGCGUAAAGCGUGCGCAGGCGGUUGUGUAAGCCAGAUGUGAAAUCCCCGGGCUUAACCUGGGAAUGGCAUUUGGGACUGCACGGCUAGAGUACGGCAGAGGGGGAUGGAAUCCCGCGUGUAGCAGUGAAAUGCGUAGAUAUGCGGAGGAACACCGAUGGCGAAGGCAAUCCCCUGGGCCUGCACUGACGCUCAUGCACGAAAGCGUGGGGAGCAAACAGG
RNAcentral lists this ribosomal RNA (253 nucleotides) under uncultured bacterium. RNAcentral describes it as "partial 16S ribosomal RNA". It matches the Rfam family "Bacterial small subunit ribosomal RNA", at positions 524 to 776 of the family's 1533-position model. The record is from RNAcentral.